Long non-coding RNA from Oreochromis niloticus (Nile tilapia), 8087 nucleotides. RefSeq lists it as uncharacterized. The record is from RefSeq and is a predicted model, not a curated record. Lineage: Eukaryota; Metazoa; Chordata; Actinopteri; Cichliformes; Cichlidae. The transcript has 3 exons.
ACAACCAUCUCUAGAGUUUACAGAGAAUAUAUCCAGUGAGUGGCAGCUCUCUGGGAGAAAAAUGCCAUGAUGCCAGAGGUCAGAGGAGAAUGGCCAGGCUGCUGUGAGCUGAUAAGACGGGAACGGCAACUUAAAUAACUGCUUGUUACAACAAAGGUAUGCAGAGGAAGAUCUAUGAAUACACAACACAUCCAACCUUGAAGCAGAUGGGCCACAGCAGCAGAAGACCAUAACGUGUAUCAAUCAUAUCAGACAAGAACAGAAAAAAAUGAGUCUUGAUUUCUGCAGCAACAUUCAGAUUGUGGGGUCAGAAUUUGGGAAAAACAACAUAAAAGCACAGAUAUAUGCCUUGUAUUGGUUCAGGCUCCUGAUUGCGGUAAAAGUGUGGGAUCAUUUUCUUGGCAGUAUUGUUGCCAACCAUGUCCUUCUCUUUAUGCAUAGCGUAGCAGUCUACUUAUGGCUGCUUUAAGCAAGAUAAGACACCAUGCCACAAAGUUCAAAUCAUCUCAAACUGCUUUCUUGAACAUGGCAAUGAGUUCACUGUACUCAAAUGACCUCUACAAUCACCAGAUUGUCAAUCCAAUAAAGCACCUCUGGGAUGUGGAGGAAUCUACAUUACAUGAUUCAUAUCACGGACGUGCAGCUGACAAUUCUGCAGCAGCUGUGUGAUGCUGUCAUGUCAAUAUGGACCAAAAUCUCUGAGGGGUGCUUCCAGUUUUAAAGACAAAAGGGGGUCCAACGUGUACGUAAUGAACUGGCCGGUGAGCGUAUGUCAGCAGAUAUGCAGGAAGAAACAUUGAAAUACACAAGAAUAUUUGUGAUUAGAGCCACAACAAUGCAGAUUUAACAACAAAGUAACACAUUUAUAGUGGUCUAUUUAGAAUAUGGACACUAAAAAUAGAUUUUGUUCUGACAAAUAGUCAAAUGCCAAAAGAUUUGUUUUUAAAACAGGAAGAAACAGAAGAGAGCAACAAAUUAAUCCUAACCAGUUUGGUGUUUUGGUUGAACGCUAAUGAGUAAAAUGUUUUCUCCCCGAUUGAUUAACCUUCUAAUUAUGUAUAUAUUUUCAGAUUUCUCUAUUUCCAGCCAUAGUGCCCUGCCGCACUUGGAGCUAUGUUAAAGUCAAUUCCUGUUAAUGUGUAAUCAGACUGAAGACAUGCUAUCUUUGGCCGUGUCUGCAGGGAGACAAUAAGCACUGCUGUGACUCUAAUGACACUGUUAACAUGGCUUGGAAGCAGAUCUAAUGGCAACGCGGAAAGACUGCGCAGAGUCACAGGAAACCGCACUUCUUGCCCAAAUCACAGUAGAGAUGACCGCCUCCCAAUGUUGACCUUCACACUGUGAUGCAGUGAGCUACAGCUGAAGAAAGGACGAAAGGAGAAAGAAAGCGAAGGCCUGAGAGGCGGAGUGAGAGAAGCAGACACAAACAAAGGGAAAUCUCAAGGCCUUGAGUGCGAAGCAGUGAGGUCAGACCCGUUAAAUAGAGAGUACAAUACAUUAGACCAUGAUGGGGCUGAAGAUAAAGCACCUAAACCGAAUAAUGGCUAAUGGAUCUCAAAAUGUCUGCAUGCCCAUCUCACCUAAUGUGCUACGUAUACCUUGGAAGAGGCCGAGAUAGAGCUGGAAACGUGUCUGUGCUUCUUUCUUCAAAAUAAUAGAUUCAAAAAUGCAGAGGGAGAAAGCAAGGGGGACAUGAAUAUUUCAUGCUUUGCAGAAGCUGAUGAGAGGUAUAGCCAGCAGACAUAUUGGUAAGGUGAAGAGAAGCCAAAAGGUUCACAGACACCACAGUGUUCCAGUCUGCCAGAAAGUCAGAGGCCUAACUCAUGCAUAAAGGAGAGGCAGUAGGAGACUAACGCAGAUCCCAUAGCCAACCUUUUCAUUCACGGUGAUGGAAAGAGCUCAGACCAAAUGUGAACUCGGUAAUUGCACAUGUGGACUAAAGCCUCCCUAAAUAGAGGUGGCAGACCAGAGCAGUAAGAGGGGAAAAAAAUGAAAGACAAUAGCAAAUGAAAGGACAAGUUGAUCAACUCGUACAAGAGAAGAGAAAUUAGCGAGAGAUUCAUCCCAAAGUAUAACCAUCAAUCUCGACGCUUCGAAAACUACAAUUAAAGCACUUUGCUCAUUAUUUUAGAGCGGCUGAAAGACACGAGGCGACAGAGUGAAAUGUGGCCAGAAACAAUAGCAGGUGACACCGGGGGCAGACUGAUGCUUUUCCUCAGGGUGGGUGGUCACUUAAACCUGCUCGCUCUACAUCGCUGGAAACAAGCCAGAGCCAUACUGCUAGAUUAAUGAGAGACAAAGAGGAGCAGGGGGAUGGAGGCUAGUCCUCAGCUGUAACAACUCUCUGGAUAAACAACGCUACGGUCGACCAUAUGCGGCUUCACACGUCUUCCCCCCUUUUUUUGCCCCCACUCCCUCCCCGACACUGCUGCUGCACUUCUUUUAAAGUGUGAAUACGACUAAGUGUCUGAGGGAUUUGCGAGGACAGUCGGUACAUUAACACCAACAAACCAGUGUCAGACUCCGCCGUAGGUGAUCCCUUGGACAAAUAAACUUUUAAAGGAGAUUUAGGCCCUCCACAUCCCCUCAGGACCCAACAGUUCCCCCUUUUCUUCCCCCCUGCUGUCCCCUCUCCAAUCUGCCCCCUUUGCUCCUGUCAGACAGAAAUAAACGAUGACCCUCAGCGCUCAAUCGCCACAGGACUUGGCAACUGCACGUUUCCCAUGGAAACGCUGGAGUUAGGUUGCGUUCAGAGGCAUGGAAACUGUGCCGAAGGAAAAACAGUGAGGGCGCUAAUCCAUAGGACCCUCAUCGAAGGGCUGCUGGUGUGACCACACACGCAAACACACACACACACAAGACACUCCAACGGAAGAUCGGCUUGUUUGCAUUCAAUCCUGGACAACACUGCAAGUAUCGUGUUCAAACACUAACACUGAACUUGGUCUUGUGUUUGCAAGGCCUGAAAUUUUUCAGCGGGGCAUGCGUCAAGGUUAAAUGGGUAAGAAUGACGCUAGUGUAAUCCAUAAUCUGUAAUCCUGUUAAUCUGCAAACAGCACCAAAUGUGCUUAUGGCAGCUCUGUUACUGUGUGAGACGCCUUGAAGGGAUUAAGAAAUGAGACACAAUAGAGCCACUAUGGUGAAGUUUUGACAGUAUAUGAGGAGGGAGGCUGGGAUGGCAGCCAUCUUUUUGAUUUGAGAACUGAGAUGUGCACGACGCUCGCUCAGAAGGCUCACUCAAAAGCCUGACAUUUUCGAGACGCUGACUGUCCGCGGCUACAAGAUGCCCAAGUCUCAAGCAGUAAAUAGCAAAGCCGGAGCAAAUUUCCACAUUUGCAUUCUGCCUCCUACCCUUUCUUGAGAGAGAUUAAACUUCAAAAAGCAAGAAUUUUUCACAUUUCUUUUGAAGCACAUCUAAAAGCAACAAACAGGCACAUGAGAGCAGCAAGGACUCGCCUUCUUAAAGAGGUUACGUUUUAAAAAAGCAACAGUCACAGUUCUUUUUCCCCUUAAGCCAGCCUUGGCAUUCAUCAAUAUAAAAUCAAUCAAUCUGAAAUUUGAAUUCCAUUUUAUGCAUUCAUUGUGGCUGCUGCGAUUAAAGGCUUAGGCCGUGAAAUAGUGUGGAGCGGAGCACCGUAUCCUCGCUCGGGCUACCGCCUCUCACCCUUCAGCCAAUCUGAAUGCGCGAGCAGGCAGCUUCAUUUUAGCUGCAAACAUUUACACCGACACUUCCCUCUCCCUCCGUCUCAUCAAUUCAUUUCAUGCCACUGCGUGAAGGACAGAGGACUCGGGAGGGAAAUGUAGUUUUGCCUUCUAAUUCUCCAGAAAGUGCCUUUCAGACAAUUUCCCCUUACCAAACCAUGUGGCUGAAUUAUCACAUCAUUUUUCAGCACCUCAAUUUACUGUCCCCAAGACUGAGGCAAUUUCGCAGAAGAAAAAUGCCUUUCCUCGGUUCGCCCAUGCCCUUCCAAUUACUUCUCAAGGCCCCACUCGACGACCUCGAUCCCGGCGCUGUCAUAAUUGAAAUGAUUGCAAUGCUAUUCUUUGACAUAGUAACGGGACAAAGAGGGAAUUAUCUUCAAAUGCGCACGAGGUAGUGCAAUCUUUACCUAGGAGCAAUUAUCGAGAGAAUGGGAAGACGGUAACGGCAAUCACAUAGAAGCACUGCAGGACCCUGCCCUCAGACUUCUAUAUUUAAGAGAUCACGUCAGAUCCCGUCAACACACACAUCAUCGUCAAGGGAGACAACCUAAGCAGGCGUUGGCAUAAUGGCAUGAUUACACAUUUAUAAUAUGUGAGAAUGAUUAAGACCGAAAUGAAUAAGAAACAGGAGGAGCAGGGAAUAAAAUAUACAUGGCGCUCGUGAGUCAUUUUCAUCUUGGAGGCUCUCAAACCUGGCUGCCACCAUCCUUUAGUUUUCCAGUGGGGAUCUGAGAGCACAGGGAAGCGUAAAAUGGAUCACCUCACAGUGGAAAAAGUAGUGCGGAGUUGGGAGCCAUGGGAAAACUGUGGCUGAGCGGAGAAGGAUCAUUAGGGAAGAGUCUAAGUGAGAUGUGAAAUGGUAUCGCACCCCUGGGCAGCAGGAUGGAGGGGCCGAGAGUGGAACCGGCAUCCUCAUCAAUGGCCUCGAUCGCUCCCACGGAACAUGUGAAAAGCAGUACACACACGCGCACACACUCAAAACUCCACUCCUGUUGAUAACUACCAGCAGCUCGGUGCCACAGUAUAUCUAUUUAUAGACGCUCCGUGUCCCAUUUACAUUCAUAGGGGGACACUGGAUCAGAAAAAGAAUAUGUAUAAAAAGCUGAACGUGUAUUAAGAUGGACAGUCGAACCACAAACUCGAUCGUACGAUUUACACAGGGGACAAAUUAACCGGAUAAUAAUUGCAUAAUGAGACGACGGUCUGAUUAAGCCAAAGUGAAGAAAAUAAUUGACAUCAUUCUGGAAACUGUGCAUAUGAUUACUUCUUUAAGUGACACAGCAGACCAUCAGAGACAUUAGCUGCAGGGUAAAGCGAUCCUACGGCGUCUGCCGUUGAAAAUGCACAUUAAUUUCCUUCAUUUGUCUUCCUUGAUGCUCUGACAUCAUGGAUAUGGGUGUCCUGCAGGGUUGAAAUUAUACCCAGUGACAUGUUUAUGUGUGGAAAUUACUGCAAAGGUGGUGAACAACCCGCACACCGGCAAAAAGUACACUUCAGAGAAAGAAGAAAAAGGCAAGCACACUCUAUUGGAUUUCUGAAGGUAGAAAAUAGGCUUGUAGAGCCUCGGACAGCCAACGUGAGGCAGAGGGAGGUGGCGGGAGAGGGAGGAAGGGGUUGGUCAUUUAUCAUUUUUGUCAGUCCUGGUAGAAAAGGGAGGUGGGCUGGGAAGGGGGGGCUUUCAUAUAAAUUGAGUGUAGGUGGAAUCAAUGUGGCGUUGUUGGUGAAAGCAGGGAGGGGUGAGCCAGCCAGAUCAAUGCUGGUGGGAGUGCCUGUUUGUUCCCAUUGUUUAUCUACUGUCAUCUCAGGAUGCUAGUGAAGGACAAGGGAGCAUGGCGGGCAGCCCGAUGUCUCCAUCGGGGACUGAAGAUUCCUGACGGGUCUUUCUUUAUGAAGACAAUACACAUCACUCAGAGGUGAAAGUCGCACUGUUCGCGAAUAACGCACGUCUGCGUGAAUGUGAGUGUGGGAGUUGGGGGUUCCUGAGUGGAAGGGGAACGUAGAGACAACAGCACUUAAGUGUCAGCGUGGUUUGAUGCUGCAGGGUCUGCUGAUCAAAUGCCCAUUCAGCUGAGAAAACCCUACGUAGCGCCCCGCAGAAUGUCUGACUGAAGCACAACGGUUUUAUUAGGACCUCCCCACCUGCAGCAGAACAGCAAUAACAGAUCUGCUGACCUGACAUGAACCAGAGAUGCUAUCAAACGGCAACAACGCGCGUGAUGGCUGCAGAAGAAUAGAAAAGAAAGCGAUCAAACUAAUAACAGAAUCCCCAGGCAUGCUGUUACACGAGCCGUGGCACUCGCAUAAACAAUAUAACUGUCUAAUCUGCUCAAUCUGAGGGGAAACAGAGGGAACGCAGCCGAGGUGAGCUUGCAUCCCGGCCUGCAAAAAAAAAAAAAAAAAAAAAAAAAAACGGGGCAAGUACAAUACCUGCUUAUGAAAUGAUGAUGAGCUAGAUUCAAGAGCCUCCACCCUCCCACCCAAACCCUGGCCCAGUGAAUUUCAGGUAUUAUGAUUCCCAGGGGAGCUCUUCCUCUCUCUCAUCUCCUUUCCUCUCCCUCUCCCUCACUUUUACACCUUCCCUCUUCCAUCUUCCCAUCUUUCAUGUCCAGAUAAGAACCGGCCCGCACUGAUCUGUCUGUGAUUCACGCAGCAGAAACGCGUUCCCAUGGGAAUAUCGCAGCGCGGAAGAAUAGCUGACACAAGAGAUGAGAUUCUGUUAUGCUCCCCAUAUUUUUGCCUGCAAGAUCAAACAGAUAUGAUACCCCCCCCCACACACACACCCCCGUAAGAAAACGCACUCAUAAUCAUCAGCUUGCUUUCAGCGCACAAUCAAGAACAGCAGAUAAAUGGAGGAAAGUGGAAAUUUGUCUACAGUAUGUUUUACAUAAACAAACAGCGCACACUUGACACAUCCAACUGCAGAGAAACACUCAGCCUCGUGAUUGGCUUAUCGCAGUAACAAUAACUACACACCCGAUUGUAGGCCCAGUCGUGAAUCUUAUUACAAAUCCUAUGUGUUGCUUGAAACUGAGCCUGAGACUUUUUUUUUCUCUCCUCUCUCUCUCUCAUUCCAUCUUCCACAGCCGCGGUUUGAAAAAACACGACCGCAGUCAAGCUCAGCGAUACUUCCAGCUUUUCCAACGUGGCAGCACGAGCCCCCACGAGUGUCUCCGCUGUUUUCUUAAUUGAAAGAAGGAAAAAAAGGACCAAAUGGAGAAAAAAUCCAGCCAGUGUUACAUACUAAAUGGACGCUACUUGGAGCCAAGCGAGAGGUCUGCAGCAGCUCUGAAGAACCUACAAGCUUUGAUGGCUGAGAGAUGAGAGACAAUGUACAGUUGCCCGGGUGAUUUACCAGCUAGUUUUCUGGUAGACUGAAAAAGAGAAAAAUCACUGUUAAAAAAAACUGACGCCAUCUCAGCUAGCGUUUGCCAGAAGGCAUGUGGGAGAAUUUGGAACAAAGCUGAAAUAGUUUUUGGAAUAGGGAGAAAAAUGAGCUUUGCUUUUUUUUCUUCUAUCACACUAAAUGCUAUGUUUGGUGUAAAACAAACAGUGUGAUGUCAUCAUAACUCAUCCUUUCACCACAAAGCCUGGUUCCUGCAGAAUCACGCUUGGAGGGGCUUCCUUGCAGCAUAAUUUGGUAAAGGGUAAAAUAAAUUCAACAACAAACGAAGAAGAAAAAACUAUGGGAAUGUCUGUUAUGAAACUAAAAAGAGAAGGUUUUGAUUUCAGCAAGACAUAAAUCCACAGCUAUGUUAUUCUAUUAAAGUGGCUAAGCCAGCUUCCAGACCUCCGUGCAAUGCAGAAUUAGUUGCAGGACUUCAAAACUUGCGGUAGCUGUGCAACUUACUGAUCUGUUCACAGCUAUAUGUGCAAUCCCAACAUUAGCCUGUAACUGCUGACUGCAAACUUAAGAUAAAAAAUACUUAGCACUCAGUGUAGUUAAACCCUACUUAUUUUUGUGAAUCUGUUGAUCUGUGUGAACAAAAGUGAGCAAGCAUUUACGCAGCGCGUACCACACCUCUGCCUUGGCUUUAAGGCUCUACCUGCACCCUGUCACGCUUCCUUUCCCUUGCUCUGGUCUCAUCCCGGAGGAGAGCGUGAGCCAUGUGUGGGUGUCACAGAGCUGACAGGUCUAUCUGGGCUCUGUCUACUGUGCUGGCUAUUCCCAUUUCCCCUCUUCACUGCCUACUCCACAGCUGCUGUGCAUCCGACUGUGACACCACGCCUGCACGCGCACGCACACACACGAGGCAUAUCAGUUUACAAAAGGGGGAGGCUUGAGGCUACCCACGAGGUCAAUCCCGGAACGCAAAACACCGUUAAAAAUCAAAACUAUAUUUUAGCAUCUGUUAGAGAAAAGAAGAGAGAAUCAGAGGAAAGUAGAC